CUUACAAAAGAGGCCUGAGAGAGUUGCCUCGGCCUUUGGCCUUGUCAGGUUACACUGAGAAGACAGCUAUCUAUGAAUCAGGAAGCAGAGCUUCACCAGGCACUGAAUCUAUUGGCAUAUUGAUCUUGAACUUCCCAGCCUCCAGAACUGAGAAAUAACUCUCUGUUAUUUACAUACCACUAUUCUAUGGUGUUUUGUUAUAGUAGCCCGAAUAGACUAAGAUAAGUAGAUAAUAGCAGAUAGCAGAUAUGGUUUAGAUGGUGUCUUAAGACUUUGAGGUAGAUUUCAGGUUCUUAAAUUGGGGAACCCAAUCAGUGAUAAGUGGUUUGAAUUCUAUUAAUGUGAAAUAUAGUAAUAAAGCCUCAUUAACAACAGGGAUUUGGCGAAGUGGAAGAGAAGGCUUAAAGUUCUAUUUUCAGAUAAAAUGGUAUAACCUUCAACUUCCUAUUACCAUGAGUUCAAUUGUUUUGGUUUUUAGAUCCCACAAAUAAGUGAGAACAUAUGAUGUUUGUCUUUCUGUUCCUGCCUUAUUUCACUUAACAUAAUUAUCUUCAGUUCCAUCCAAGUUGUUGCAAUUGACUGCAUCUUAUUCUUUUUUAUGGUUGAAUAGUGCUCCAUUGUGUAUGCAUACCACAUUUUCUUUAUCCAUUCAUCUGUUUAUGAACACUUAGAUUGGUUCCAAAUCUUGGCUAGAAUUUCUGAUUGCAGAACAAUUGAAAUAAAUAACAGAAUUGAAUGUUUAUUGAAUGUUUUUCUUUCUUUUGGGCAUUUUUAGGCUCAAAAGAGAUAAUUAUAACUAGCAUGUGCAUCAUUUUAUAAUAAUUACAAAAUAUGUUGGCAUAUAUUAUUAUUAUUACCACUGCAUUAUAUAACUUGAACAUUUAGUGGUACUUUCUGGGUUGUUUUGCUUUUGCUAACAAUAAAAACAAACUACAGUACACACACAUGUAUUUUUCUAAUCCCAUUUACUUUAUUUUGUCAUGCUACUUUUAAAAUUCUGCUACUUUGCUCCAUUUUAUAUACCUUUAGUACUCAUAUAUAUAAUAAUUAUAAUUAUUUAUAUAAUUAAUUAUAUAAUAUUAGUAAUUAUGAAGUUUAUUUUCUGGAAAAUUUUAUUUUUGUUAUCAUCCAUAGACUUAUAAAGAAAAUAAUGGCAACUUUUAAAUGAUUGAUGAAAUAUUCUUUUUAUAGUUAAAUGUCAUUUUUUACCCAAGGAUACCAAAUAUUAUAACAAUAAUUUCAGAGGCUUAAAAUAUUAGGAAAUGUUAAUAGGCCAGAAAUUGUGUACAGACACAUGUGCAUUGGAGCGUUCAAGCAGGUUCACAAAUACACUCAGCACGAAGAAGAGAAAACAGAAAACAUCCAUUGAAUCCUCUGCCUCUGGUAAUGUAUGGCUCCCAGUAUGCCUCCUUCAAGAGCAUGACUGACCCAAUUACUAGUAUGAGCAAAAGGAAGAAACCCCCAAUUGAACUGAUGAAAAACAUAAACAGUGGCAAUGAAUUAUAACCCAGUUAAAACUGGAUCUGAAAGCUGAAUAAAAGACAUGCAAAAGCUAAAAA
RNAcentral lists this long non-coding RNA (1559 nucleotides) under Homo sapiens (human). RNAcentral describes it as "HSALNT0376121". The record is from RNAcentral. Lineage: Eukaryota; Metazoa; Chordata; Mammalia; Primates; Hominidae.